RNAcentral lists this ribosomal RNA (461 nucleotides) under uncultured bacterium. RNAcentral's name for it is "bacterial SSU rRNA". It matches the Rfam family "Bacterial small subunit ribosomal RNA", at positions 339 to 797 of the family's 1533-position model. The record is from RNAcentral.
AUACGGGAGGCAGCAGUAAGGAAUAUUGGUCAAUGGACGCAAGUCUGAACCAGCCAUGCCGCGUGAAGGAUGAAGGUCCUCUGGAUUGUAAACUUCUUUUAUAUGGGAAGAAAUUCUCGCAUUCUUGCGGGAUUGACGGUACCAUUGGAAUAAGCACCGGCUAACUCCGUGCCAGCAGCCGCGGUAAUACGGAGGGUGCAAGCGUUAUCCGGAUUCACUGGGUUUAAAGGGUGCGUAGGAGGGCAGGUAAGUCAGUGGUGAAAUCUCCAAGCUUAACUUGGAAACUGCCGUUGAUACUAUCUGUCUUGAAUACCGUGGAGGUGAGCGGAAUAUGUCAUGUAGCGGUGAAAUGCUUAGAUAUGACAUAGAACACCAAUUGCGAAGGCAGCUCGCUACACGAAUAUUGACUCUGAGGCACGAAAGCGUGGGGAUCAAACAGGAUUAGAAACCCUAGUAGUCCU